AAAAGAAAAAGGAAAAAAUAAAGAUAUUAUAUGUUCAACUCAAAAACAUGUAACAUUAUGGCAUCGACAGCGUUUAGCCUUGCGAAAGCCAUUGUAGCGGUUCACUCAAAGCAAGAAAGAUUUCAAUCAAUCCUUUUAGGUCCCUCUGUGUCGGACAGUCGUGGAAUUAGAAUAUGCUCCUCCAUAAAACAAGUGGAGAAGCAAAGCCAGAAGAGACAGGCUAAUUGUAAAUUAGUGAUGAUGAUGACGAUGGAAAACAAAACAUUUCGAAACAAACCCAGAAUUCUAUGCAUCCAUAGCUUCAGGACAAGUGCUGCAAUUUUCCAAAAGAUGAUAGAAAGAUGGCCUGUAACUGUUCUUGAAAAGCUUCAACUUCAUUUUCUUGAUGGCCCAUUUCUUGCUCGAGGAAAAUCCGAUGUUGAACUCCUUUUCGAUCCUCCUUAUUAUGAAUGGUAUCAGAGCAGUGAGGAUUUUAAAGUGUACGAGGAUUUUGAAGAAUGUGUUGCUUAUAUUGAAGAAUAUAUGUUAAAAUAUGGUCCUUUUGAUGGUUUGCUUGGUUUCUCUCAGGGAGCAUUUAUAACAGCAGCUGUGCCAGGAAUGCAAGCUCAGGGUGUGGCUUUUACAAAGGUACCAAAGAUAAGAUUUCUUAUAUUAAUAUCUGGGGCUAAGUUUGGAGGGUACAAGUUUGGCCAACCUAAGCUCGCUGGUAGUGCAUAUUCAUCUCCUAUUGACUGCCCUUCGCUCCACAUUAUAGGGGAGAAAGAUUUUAUGAAGCCCGGUGGAAUCGAUCUCCUAGGGUCAUUUGUGGACCCCGUUGUGAUUCAUCAUCCCAAGGGGCACAUUAUACCAAGACUUGAUGAUAUCAGCCUCAAGACAAUGCUUAGCUUCAUCGAAAAGAUGGAAUUGAGGCCUUCACUUUGAUCAAUGUAUCUGCUUGGAUGCCAAGACCACUAGCUUCUUUCACCCAGUCCUCAGCUCUCUCUUCCUGCAUGUAUAUCUCUCUUUUGUUUAUAUAGUGUUAAUGAUGUAGUGCAGUAGUAGAGGGAGGGAAUACUAUGUAAAGAAGAAAUUUUACAGAAAUUACUGAGAAGUGGAGAUGAAAAAAUGAAUGCUUCAUACAGAGAUUGAAGAAAUGCUGCUUUGAAGACUCAUCGGGGGGAAGAGGAAAAAGAAAUUGUUGAAGGAAGAAAUAUGAUUAGAAGUAAAGGGCUAUAACAAGUGGUGGGGGCAUGGGCUUAAAGAGGAGACCAAGAAAAUGAGAGUGGUGGUGGAAUCAUUAAUGCAUUUUGAGUGAGAUAGGGUGUGGAAAUAAUGAAAAUAGAUACUAAAUCAUAAAAAAUAUUACUUAUAAUUGUGUCUUAAAGGUUCAGAUAGGGUUUGGUGAUAAUGACAAUAACUUUAUUAUAGAGUUUUCUAUAGGAACAGAAUGAAAAAUAGACAAGAGUCGGGGAUAUUCUAUUAUUUUGUUAGCAAUGCAAAUUAGUUGUUUAUUUA
RNA transcript from Ricinus communis (castor bean), 1494 nucleotides. It is a transcript of the gene named esterase OVCA2, with no coding region annotated. The record is from RefSeq and is a predicted model, not a curated record. The transcript has 8 exons. Lineage: Eukaryota; Viridiplantae; Streptophyta; Magnoliopsida; Malpighiales; Euphorbiaceae.